RNAcentral lists this ribosomal RNA (901 nucleotides) under human gut metagenome. Its description in RNAcentral is "bacterial SSU rRNA". It matches the Rfam family "Bacterial small subunit ribosomal RNA", at positions 8 to 910 of the family's 1533-position model. The record is from RNAcentral.
AGAGUUUGAUCCUGGCUCAGGAUGAACGCUGGCGGCGUGCCUAAUACAUGCAAGUCGAACGCUUCACUUCGGUGAAGAGUGGCGAACGGGUGAGUAAUACAUAAGUAACCUGGCAUCUACAGGGGGAUAACUGAUGGAAACGUCAGCUAAGACCGCAUAGGUGUAGAGAUCGCAUGAACUCUAUAUGAAAAGUGCUACGGGACUGGUAGAUGAUGGACUUAUGGCGCAUUAGCUGGUUGGUAGGGUAACGGCCUACCAAGGCGACGAUGCGUAGCCGACCUGAGAGGGUGACCGGCCACACUGGGACUGAGACACGGCCCAAACUCCUACGGGAGGCAGCAGUAGGGAAUUUUCGGCAAUGGGGGAAACCCUGACCGAGCAACGCCGCGUGAAGGAAGAAGUAAUUCGUUAUGUAAACUUCUGUCAUAGAGGAAGAACGGUGGAUAUAGGGAAUGAUAUCCAAGUGACGGUACUCUAUAAGAAAGCCACGGCUAACUACGUGCCAGCAGCCGCGGUAAUACGUAGGUGGCGAGCGUUAUCCGGAAUUAUUGGGCGUAAAGAGGGAGCAGGCGGCACUAAGGGUCUGUGGUGAAAGAUCGAAGCUUAACUUCGGUAAGCCAUGGAAACCGUAGAGCUAGAGUGUGUGAGAGGAUCGUGGAAUUCCAUGUGUAGCGGUGAAAUGCGUAGAUAUAUGGAGGAACACCAGUGGCGAAGGCGACGAUCUGGCGCAUAACUGACGCUCAGUCCCGAAAGCGUGGGGAGCAAAUAGGAUUAGAUACCCUAGUAGUCCACGCCGUAAACGAUGAGUACUAAGUGUUGGGAGUCAAAUCUCAGUGCUGCAGUUAACGCAAUAAGUACUCCGCCUGAGUAGUACGUUCGCAAGAAUGAAACUCAAAGGAAU